AACGAUUUUUACCGGUUCGCCGGUAACGAUAGUGGCGGACGGGUGAGUAACACGUAAGUAACCUGCCCAGAAGUGGGGAAUAACUUGCCGAAAGGUGAGCUAAUUCUGCAUGUGGUAUGGCUCCCUCGGGAGCCUUACAAAAGGCGAAAGUCGCUUCUGGAGGGGCUUGCGGCCGAUUAGCUAGUUGGUGGGGUAAUGGCCUACCAAGGCUCCGAUCGGUAGCUGGUCUGAGAGGACGGUCAGCCACAUGGGGACUGAGAUACGGCCCCAACUCCUACGGGAGGCAGCAGCUAGGAAUAUUGGGAAUGGGCGAAAGCCUGACCCAGCAACGCCGCGUGGGCGAUGAAGGCUUUCGGGUCGUAAAGCCCUUUUGUAGGGGACGAUGAUGACGGUACCCUGCGAAUAAGCCACGGCUAACUACGUGCCAGCAGCCGCGGUAAUACGUAGGUGGCGAGCGUUGUCCGGAUUUACUGGGCGUAAAGGGCGUGCAGGCGGUUUGCUAAGUCUAGGGUGAAAGCUCCCGGCUCAACUGGGAGAGGUCCUUGGAUACUGGCAGACUUGAGGGAGGUAGAGGAAAGUGGAAUUCCCGGUGUAGUGGUGAUAUGCGUAGAUAUCGGGAGGAACACCAGUGGCGAAGGCGGCUUUCUGGGCCUUUCCUGACGCUGAGACGCGAAAGCGUGGGGAGCGAACCGGAUUAGAUACCCGGGUAGUCCACGCUGUAAACGAUGAACACUAGUGUGGGGGGGUAUCGACCCCC
This 757-nucleotide ribosomal RNA is filed under the name uncultured bacterium. RNAcentral describes it as "bacterial SSU rRNA". It matches the Rfam family "Bacterial small subunit ribosomal RNA", at positions 65 to 840 of the family's 1533-position model. The record is from RNAcentral.